Molecule: transfer RNA, 63 nt
Filed under: Siphonosoma cumanense
Lineage: Eukaryota; Metazoa; Annelida; Sipuncula; Golfingiida; Sipunculidae
Description: tRNA-Leu
Source: RNAcentral
UCUAAAGUGGCAGAAAAGUGCAUUAGGUUUAAGCCCUAAACAUGGACCUAAAUCCCUUUAGAA